Molecule: long non-coding RNA, 584 nt
Filed under: Equus caballus (horse)
Lineage: Eukaryota; Metazoa; Chordata; Mammalia; Perissodactyla; Equidae
Description: lncRNA (ENSECAG00000050946.1)
Source: RNAcentral
GGAUGAUAGAAUCCUUGACACUUAACUGUCAGAAGUCAGAUGAUACAAUUACCAUGAUGAGUGACAACAUCAUAAUGGCAAGCAGAAGAGACUGACCCACAGAAAUCUAUGGAGAUGCCUAUAGAACACUGUGUUCCUAGAGGCAAGAUAGAUGGGUAUCCAAUGACAUCUUGCAUUUCUUACCACUAGGAGAGAAGCGCAAUAUUUGUCACAACAGCAACCAGGUCAGCAAAUACGAAUGGAUUACAACUAAUUCAUCAUUGUUAUUAGAAAAAUCCAAAGCUUAUGAUCUGCUUAUAGUGGAUGUUCAGGGAAUAUCCACUGUUCACCGGUCACUGAUCUGAACAUAAGGAAUAAACAUCUGAACUAGUGAUAGGAAGUUAAUUUCUCAAACUGCCAUGGAAGGAGGGUUUCCAUUAAAGCUCUGAAAAGAAAAGAAUGCUAAAACUUCCUUCCAAAACCCAUCACAGUGUCUAUAUGUCUUUAUUUUUUCUCAUGGUAGAGAUGGAGAUUGGCAAUAAAUAUUUGUUAAUACCCUUCUAUAACCCAAAGUUAAUUUUUCUUUAAUAAUAAAUCCGAUAGGC